UGGGGAAUAUUGCGCAAUGGGCGAAAGCCUGACGCAGCGACGCCGCGUGAGGGAUGAAGGUUUUCGGAUCGUAAACCUCUGUCAGAAGGGAAGAAACCGCACUGUGCUAAUCAGCAGUGCCUUGACGGUACCUUCAAAGGAAGCACCGGCUAACUCCGUGCCAGCAGCCGCGGUAAUACGGAGGGUGCAAGCGUUAAUCGGAAUUACUGUGCGUAAAGCGCACGUAGGCUGCUUUGUAAGUCAGGGGUGAAAUCCCACGGCUCAACCGUGGAACUGCCUUUGAUACUGCUUAGCUUGAAUCCGGGAGAGGGUGGCGGAAUUCCAGGUGUAGGAGUGAAAUCCGUAGAUAUCUGGAGGAACAUCAGUGGCGAAGGCGGCCACCUGGACCGGUAUUGACGCUGAGGUGCGAAAGCGUGGGGAGCAAACAGG
Molecule: ribosomal RNA, 429 nt
Filed under: Fusobacteriota bacterium
Lineage: Bacteria; Fusobacteriati; Fusobacteriota
Description: Fusobacteria bacterium partial 16S ribosomal RNA
Rfam family: Bacterial small subunit ribosomal RNA
Source: RNAcentral